GACGAACGCUGGCGGCGUGCUUAACACAUGCAAGUCGAACGGUGAACCUCUUCGGAGGGGAUCAGUGGCGAACGGGUGAGUAACACGUGGGCAACCUGCCCCCGGCUCUGGGAUAACUCCAAGAAAUUGGGGCUAAUACCGGAUGUUCACCGCUUCCCGCAUGGGUGGUGGUGGAAAGGGUUUCCGGCUGGGGAUGGGCCCGCGGCCUAUCAGCUUGUUGGUGGGGUAGUGGCCUACCAAGGCGACGACGGGUAGCCGGCCUGAGAGGGUGACCGGCCACACUGGGACUGAGACACGGCCCAGACUCCCACGGGAGGCAGCAGUGGGGAAUAUUGCGCAAUGGGCGGAAGCCUGACGCAGCGACGCCGCGUGGGGGAUGACGGCCUUCGGGUUGUAAACCUCUUUCAGCAGGGACGAAGCGCAAGUGACGGUACCUGCAGAGGAAGCACCGGCCAACUACGU
This 462-nucleotide ribosomal RNA is filed under the name uncultured bacterium. Its description in RNAcentral is "partial 16S ribosomal RNA". It matches the Rfam family "Bacterial small subunit ribosomal RNA", at positions 28 to 506 of the family's 1533-position model. The record is from RNAcentral.